UCUCAGCGCUGGCAAGGUGUCAAUCCAAACUCUGCCACGAUCCGGGGGCUCACCCCCCUCUCUCUUGAGGGGGAGAAACCCAGGUGACGGGAGGGGACGCCUUGGAACGCGUCCGAAAGGACGCGGUCCGACAGGGCGUCCUGUAUUCCUCGGCUCGGGUAACACCGGCCGGGGGUCAGGCGUUUGCCGCACAGCCGUUGUAAAUUCGUAGGCAAAAGGGAAUCUGGUACUUACUCCGAAACCUCGUCCCGGAUAAAACGUCCCCGAG
This 268-nucleotide ribosomal RNA is filed under the name Nyctiphanes australis. Its description in RNAcentral is "partial large subunit ribosomal RNA". The record is from RNAcentral. Lineage: Eukaryota; Metazoa; Arthropoda; Malacostraca; Euphausiacea; Euphausiidae.